GUUCUUGGUGUGGAAUCAGAGUGAUACUCUACCUACCCACCUCCACUUCAUCUGACAUGAAUAGAAGUAUCUAACACAGCUCUGAACUCAGGAAGUAUUACCUGGUUCUAUAUGCAACUGAGAUAAAGUGGAAUUAAUUUCCAAGGCCAUACCAAAGAAUCUUUUACAGGGUAGGUUGCAGAUUUGCUCCAGGGCCUUUGUUAUGAGUUUAUUACUACCAAAUUUCUAAGAAUCUGUUAAAUUAGUAGCAUUACAAAAUUUCUGCUUGAUCUUUUUAACUUCUUCUUUAUGGGCAGAAAAUCUGAAUCAAAGUCACACUGUCUCCUCCUGUUUGUCAAGUCUGCAAGUACUAAUUUAAGUGAUAACUACAAGAGCUGAAGUAGUUGCCUGUGAGACAGCAACUUUGAAAUUUCACAACAGUACUGUUUCAAAUGUCACACUUGUUAACUGUUGAAGUAAAGAUUUCUAACUUCUUCAUCUAUGGUAGAAAAACCCUGUGAUUUUGCAAUCCGGUAUCUUUUGCAUUAACACUGAUGUAGUAUGACAAGUUUCCUGAGGCUUAUAGACUCCGGCACUUGUCUGGAUUUAAAAAAGGAGUAACCCCCUAACCCAUCCUUGACAAGACAGUUUGUAAUUCUUUCAGGAUUACAGGAAGACUGCUUGUUCUAAACGGAGAUUUCAGGUGAUACUCUGAAAGGAUUCAGAAUGGCCACUAACACUGUAUUUAGAGAGAGAACUGGGAUUUUCUUCGAGAAUAGUUUUGCAUGGUCUCUUCAUCUUCCUGAUAUAUGGGGUGUACAACACAGAGGUAAGUCUGCUUGGAGUAUCUCAAGGCUGACAGAGUGAAUGAGAGAAAUGACAGGUUUCUUAUCUUGAUAACUGAGGGACAAAGUUGGCUUUCCAUAUGAGUGUCCUACUGCCCUUCAUGCUUGGACUAGCUUAUAUGCAUCCCAGCUUACCAUUAAACACAGACACCCUCAAUAAAGGGACAGACUCAUUUCUCAUAGGCAUUGACUAAUAUUUUACUGCUGCUUUAAGUUUUUUGAAUUUCAGGUCUGCCUUUUAACACUUAGCUAAACCUGACAGUCCAAACUUUCAUCAUCUAAUCUACAUUUUAAAAUGAACUGUGAGUUUACAUGCUAAUUAAGCUCUUUCAGUUAUAACGGGAACAAAUUUUACUUACUUCAAAAUUUUGCUGGGUA
Pezoporus flaviventris is the source of this 1202-nucleotide long non-coding RNA. RefSeq lists it as uncharacterized. NCBI's taxonomy places the organism in Eukaryota, Metazoa, Chordata, Aves, Psittaciformes, Psittacidae. The transcript is spliced from 3 exons. The record is from RefSeq and is a predicted model, not a curated record.